UCCCUUGAUAGCUCAGGCAGGCAGAGCACCCGGUGGCGAACCGGAAGGUCCCGGUUCGAGUCCGGGUAAGGGAA
RNAcentral lists this transfer RNA (74 nucleotides) under Streptomyces buecherae. RNAcentral describes it as "Streptomyces sp. AC541 tRNA-Arg". It matches the Rfam family "tRNA". From Rfam's summary of the family: Transfer RNA (tRNA) molecules are approximately 80 nucleotides in length. Their secondary structure includes four short double-helical elements and three loops (D, anti-codon, and T loops). Lineage: Bacteria; Bacillati; Actinomycetota; Actinomycetes; Kitasatosporales; Streptomycetaceae. The record is from RNAcentral.